RNAcentral lists this ribosomal RNA (606 nucleotides) under Triticum aestivum (bread wheat). RNAcentral describes it as "partial small subunit ribosomal RNA". The record is from RNAcentral. Lineage: Eukaryota; Viridiplantae; Streptophyta; Magnoliopsida; Poales; Poaceae.
AUGAUAAUAACCAAAUUAUUAUUGCCUCUAGGGCAUAUUUCCAAUAGGAAGACGCGAUUUACAGGAUCUGAUGCUCUUAUCCCCGCCUCGGGCCAUGCUUCCUCGUCGCCAACUACGGCCACCUCAUGUAUACUCUCUGACUCGCGGCCGCAUCCGGCCUGCAGCCGCCAUCUGACCUUUACGUACGACGACGGCGGCACCGCCGACGACUACCACUCCACCAUCCGCUCCCUCAACUCGCACGGACGCCGCUACGUUCCCCUCAAAUCCCUCGGCCAGGAGAUGGUUGCGGCGGCUGGGGUGGAAGAGGGGGACAUCGUGCUCGAGAUUGGCCCGGGGACGGGCUCGCUCACCGCCAUCAUUGAAGAAGAUAUCACAAAAUUUCACCUUCACUCACAUUUUGUCCCUAUCCUUGAGGACAAAUCCCAUGGCAAGGUUGUGUCAAACUUACCAUUCAGUGUCAGCACUGAAGUUGACGAACAAAUUCCCCCAAUGGGUGAUGAAACAACACUAAACCUUGCAAAUGCUUCAAUACAAACACCAGAGUACCAACCUACUAUCAAUUUGUUUGCUAAUUUCUACUGUGGGAAGAGGGUCUUCCUUUAG